Long non-coding RNA from Triticum aestivum (bread wheat), 2582 nucleotides. RefSeq lists it as uncharacterized. The transcript is spliced from 10 exons. The record is from RefSeq and is a predicted model, not a curated record. Lineage: Eukaryota; Viridiplantae; Streptophyta; Magnoliopsida; Poales; Poaceae.
UCUAAAACAGGCUUCAUCCCGAACGCCAGCAUCAAUCCUAUCUUCUUCUCCCCUUGCUCCACCGCUCAGAGCACACUGCUCUGUCUCCGCCACGCAAUACAGAGAGGAGUGGCCUUCGCCGGCGACGAGGCUCCUCCCUGACCAGAUCCCGCCACAGUCGCGGCGGCAGGGGUCGAGGACGACGACCACGAGGGAUCCGCGGAGGGGGCCAGGGAUUUGGCGUUCGCUACAGCCGAGCACCAGGUACUGCCACGCUACGACUCAGCUCCUCGCCGACCGGAGCGAGGUGCCGUCGCGGUCCGAUGCCGAGCGCCGCCGCGAGCACCAGGCCGCCGCGCUCGGGGCGACGCUGCCCGCACCAUCCCUGCGAUGCGCCCACCUCCAACCCGGCGGCGAUGGCGAUGUCCGCGAGGCCCUGGGCGCGAGGGAGGCGAUGGCGAUCAGCUGAAGCGGCGGCGCCGUCAUCCUACACCGGGAGGCGGGGCCUGGUGGUGCACGAGGCUGCGGGACGCGGAAGGGGGAGAAGCAAUGGAGGUACUGUUCGAGGAGGCGGGGCGCGGAGGGAGAGAGCAGUGGAGGUGCUGACGCUGACGCCGCGGCGCUUCAUGGAGGUCAACUAGGAGGUGGACGAGGCCUUGCAGCUCGCAGCCGACCUGCUCGCCGAUGCGCCAAUAGGGAUCUGCUCGCCGGCGGGGACGCCGUUUUCUUCUAGUGAUGUGCGGAUGGUGAACUGCUCGCCGGGAUUCACCCCGAGCCCAGGGAGUGGGAGUAUUCGGGGAUAGGAUAUGUGCAUCGAGCAGAGGGGGCCGGUGUUCACUUCAGGUUUCUUGCCUCAGUCAGAUCAAUUCUGGAGUCCUUGAUCUCCCCGUCCUUCAUCAACAGCUUUACGUGGGAAGUAAAGAAAGGCUCUGUUCUCUUAACAAGGAUGGAAAGUAUAACGGCAUACAAAAACCAACAUGGACAACCCAAAUCUGGAACUCCAGAACAAUCUGACAUUCCAGUGGCUGCUAAUGACAAGCGUUCCCUUGCUGAAUGGCCAUCCUAUGCUCGCCGCAACCGUGCGUGACUACAGGAUGAAGCUGGUGGACAGAAGAAGAAAGGGCGAGGUGUUCUAAAAGGUUUUAAAGCAUCUAAGAAGCGUUUUGCCAAUGGAUCUGCAAAGCUAAAUAUUACAUUCUCUGAAAAAUUGGGUGGUACAGUAGGAAUGAACUAUCGUUCGUUCAAGGAUGACGUGGUAGUCAUAAUGAAAAGAAAGUUACCACUCAUUGGAUUGAGGACGUGGUCGGACAUUCACCCUACCAUUCAUCGACUCAUUGUUGCAGAUAUGAUUGUAGGACAGAUGGGACCUGGAAGAUACACCAGAAACAGAAGAAAAAGUUCUCAAAAUUGCGAAAGAGAGAUAUAGAGGCUGGCGAUCAACUCUAAGCUCCACUUACAAGGCAUACAAAACAGAUGCAUUGGCUAAUCUGCCUGAAGAUUUACAACCAGAAGAGUGGGAAUGGAUGAUUGAGUACUUUGGCACUGAUUCAAAAUUUCAGGAAUGCAGCCAAAAGAACGCUGAUAACCGUAAGAAACAGAAGACAAAACAUAUAAUCGGAUCAAAAUCUUACUCGCAAGUUAGUUUUGAGAAGAGAAACUUAGAAACUGGAGAAGAGCCAGAUUGUAUUGCUCUAUGGGAACUCACCCACACAAACAAUGGAACAUGGUCUAACACAGAUUCCCAGAAAGUUUACGACCAAGCACUUGAAGAGGUUAAAAACAAAGAAGCUGAAACUGAAGGUCCACUUUCAAGUGAGCAGAAAAACAAUGUUUUCCAGACCGCUUACAAAGACACUCUGGAAUGCAAGUCAUCGCAGCCUCGUGGGUACGGAUACAUGGCCAAAACUUCAACUGGUUCUGAAAAGUUCCGUAUCCAGAUUGAAGAGCAAGCUCGUGCUACAGCAGCCACCCAGGAGUGAAACUCUCAGCUCAGCCAGCAGGUUAAUGACUUAGAAGAUCAACUACAAGCUGAACGUGCUAACACACAAGAGAGGAUUAACUUGGAGCGUGCUGAGAGAGAACAACUUGAGGAGAGGUUAAAACAAGAGCGUGCUGAAAGGGAAAGAUUGUUGCAAGAGGAGCGAACAUCAAGACUGGAAUUUGAAAAAAAACAUGAUGGCAAAGUUUAUAGAAUUGAGCAAACAGAUGGAAACCCAACAGGUUCCUACGAAGAGGGUUGACAAAGAAAAUAGUAAUCCAAACUUGCAAAAUAUUCUUUCACAGACAUCUAGUCCUAAUAAGACUCCAGGUUCAAGGCCGACUGCUAUUUCUUCAAAUGCGCUCAUACAAGCUGCAGCAAGGCAAUCUCGAAUGUAUAAAGCAAUGGAUCCAAAGAACUAGCUGGACUGGACUCUAGAUCACGGGCAGUUUAGUCUUCGAAGUUAAUUAGGAUGGCUAAAUUACAUUUGAGUUUUAUUUGAUGGAUAUUUUCUAUCAGAAGUAUGAAUUGUAUGAAUCUAGAUAUUAUAUGUAUGGUUUUGAAUAUUUUAAUUGAAACCCUGUAAAAAAAAUUUACGAUUGCAAUAGACUAUUACCACAACCCA